RNAcentral lists this ribosomal RNA (253 nucleotides) under uncultured bacterium. RNAcentral's name for it is "partial 16S ribosomal RNA". It matches the Rfam family "Bacterial small subunit ribosomal RNA", at positions 524 to 776 of the family's 1533-position model. The record is from RNAcentral.
UACGUAGGGUGCAAGCGUUAAUCGGAAUUACUGGGCGUAAAGCGUGCGCAGGCGGCUUUGUAAGACAGUUGUGAAAUCCCCGGGCUCAACCUGGGAACUGCAUCUGUGACUGCAUCGCUGGAGUGCGGCAGAGGGGGAUGGAAUUCCGCGUGUAGCAGUGAAAUGCGUAGAUAUGCGGAGGAACACCGAUGGCGAAGGCAAUCCCCUGGGCCUGCACUGACGCUCAUGCACGAAAGCGUGGGGAGCAAACAGG